This 253-nucleotide ribosomal RNA is filed under the name uncultured bacterium. RNAcentral's name for it is "partial 16S ribosomal RNA". It matches the Rfam family "Bacterial small subunit ribosomal RNA", at positions 524 to 776 of the family's 1533-position model. The record is from RNAcentral.
UACGUAGGUGGCAAGCGUUGUCCGGAUUUAUUGGGUUUAAAGGGCUCGUAGGCGGCCAACUAAGUCAGACGUGAAAUCCCUCGGCUUAACCGGGGAACUGCGUCUGAUCCUGGAUGGCUUGAAUCCGGGAGAGGGAUGCGGAAUUCCAGGUGUAGCGGUGAAAUGCGUAGAUAUCUGGAGGAACACCGGUGGCGAAGGCGGCAUCCUGGACCGGCAUUGACGCUGAGGAGCGAAAGCCAGGGGAGCAAACGGG